RNAcentral lists this small RNA (2701 nucleotides) under Pan troglodytes (chimpanzee). RNAcentral's name for it is "processed transcript". The record is from RNAcentral. Lineage: Eukaryota; Metazoa; Chordata; Mammalia; Primates; Hominidae.
GGCAGUCCAGCCGCAGGGGCCACCCGAACAGUCUCUCCUCCUCACAGAAGCCUGGAGCUGGGCAUCCAAGAAGAAGCAGCCUCAUUUGUUUUCUGGUGUCAUCGUAGGUGGCCACCUAUGGCUUUUGGGCUUCUCACCUGGGGCGGGUGGGUUCUGCACCACCCUCCCACCCUCCUUCCUCCGUGUGGACGAUAGAGCCACAUCCAGCACCACGGACAGCUCCCGGGCGAUCCCAUGGGAGUAGAAGAGGUGUGAGCAGGUUGCCCAGCUGGUUAGCGGAAAUGCCAAGAUCCAGGCUCCUGAAUUUCAGCCUGGCCCUUUCUAUCUGUCUGAUACCUCCUUUACGAGUCUCUCUGCCUGGGUUGUGUGGAGCGGACCUGCUGCUGGUUGGGGGAGUUUGCAGGUUGCCCCUAUGCAAAAAAGGACAGGAUGCAUGACUGGCAUGUAAGGUGUUCAGGAAAACCAGGAAAAGGUGGAACAGACUGCUACCUCUGUCUGAAGUGGUUUGGAGGGAAGGCCUCAGGGACAGGGCAUACCUAGCAGUAGCUGGCAAGCCCAUGGGAGAAAAGGCAAGGGGGCAACCAUCUGCCAGGGCACAGAGGCCAGGGGAUGGCCACAAGGAGUCUCCAGAGGCCAGUGGGAGUCAUGCAAACUGGAACGGGGCCUGGGAAAGGCCCUUCUGUGUGCCCAGGCCUGCCUCCCCAACACCGUGAGCCUAGAAACAAAGGGGCCAUUCUCUCUAGGAUUUGAUGCUGCCAUCUCCGGCUGGCAGUGCCAGGUGGUGGGGGCAUCAGGGGGUGUCAAUCCAUUAUCCCCCCCAACUCCUAGGUCCUCUGAGGCUGGAUGUUGGGGAGGUGGGUGUUCUAUGAUAUGUUGCCAUGGCAACCGCCCCCCCACCCCCAAAGUACAAAGAGAGGCAGCUUUCACCCCUACCCCCAGGAAGAACCUGGGUCUGGCUGGGAAUCUUCCCUUGAGAAUCCUCCUUUCUGAUGCACAAGCCAUGGCAUGCAUAAGCGUCACCCUCUUUUCAGCACUGGAAGCUGAGGGUUCUGACAGCGGCAGGCCACAUAGGCAAGGAAGCUGGUGCAUGCAGUGUCUCUGGGCAAGGUUAUGCAAGUGAGUACCAGCCCCUUAUACUUAACCCCCUCUCUUCCCAAGCUCGCCUGCCCCUCACCUACCACAGCCAAGGACAUCCCAGGCCUUCUCAGCUGAAGCGAUGGGGCCUUGACCUUCUACUCUUUCCCAGAAGUGAGGGACACCCAGCUACCUCCAGCAAACCUCCAGGCUGUGGGAACAGAGAAGAGGAGGGGGCCACUCCUGCCACCCUCCAUCUGCACCCUCCGCCAUUACUCAUUAGGCAUUCUGCCCCCUCCUUCCGCUCGUUAAGCCUGAUUUGCAUACAUUUGCAUAAUACAGUUCAUUUGCAUUCCAGGAGGCUCAUGGUAGAAGCCAGGAAAAAAGGGGAGGGGGGCUGGAGAAGAGAAAAAGGGGGAGAGAUUUUGUUUUCAUCAAAGUGUUGGGGGAGGGACUAGGGGGAGGUGGCAGGAAGAGGACAGAAAUAAAAACUUACACUACUUUCUUUCUUCCUUUCUGCCCUCCCUCCCUGAGCUGGACUCAAAUGCCAAAGAGAGAUGCCAAGGGGCCAGCUUUUCUGUCCUUUUUUGUCUUGCUUCCUCCGGCCUUGGCUCCCCAGCCUGGCCCCCCACCUUGUUGGGCCGAGGCUUCAGAAAGAAAGAGGCAGGGGUAGGAGGCAAGGCUGUGGGAACGGAAGCGGAGGGUGAGGGAGGCCGCCAUCUUAGGUAACUGGUGCCUGUAAGAUGGCUGCCCGACCAGGUGUGCACUGAAAGCCUCCCCUGGUUGGUGGACAUGGAACAGACUGAGGCCAUAAGAAGGACUUCCUGGCUGACCAGAAAUACUGUUGAAUCUUCCUGUUAAUGGAAUUAGGAAGAGAGGAUGGAGAGAGAAGGAAGGAGGGAGAGACCAGGAAUGGCGGCCCCCAGAAGAGAUGUAAGGUUGAGCACAGGAGCAGGGGUGGUAGAGAGGCCUCAGCACUGGGCUUAGUUCCCAGACUACUUAGAGGACUGUGGGUAAUAAGAAAAGUACUGGAGGAAUCAGAAUGGGGGAAUAUCAGCAUGAGGAGAGAGAGAGUAAGAUGUGGCCAGGCAGUAUCAUCUGCUAGUUUGAGGGUCUCUCUGGGGCCUGAGAAAGGUGACUGUGUACUUGAGGUGAUGCUCCACCUUCUCUCCUCAGCCCAGCACUCUGGUGAAACUGCAUCCUCUCAGAGGCCACUCACAGCCCCCUCAACAAAGACCACUGGCCCUUCCCAAGCCCAGUCCUCCUUGACCUGUAUGGAAAAUGUUAUGCUAUUUUCUCAGUCUUUUCCUUUGGCCUUCUGUUCUUCUGUUACAUCCAUGAUCAUCUGUUCUUGGUUCCAUUCAUUCAGUCCUCCGGAUGGACCAGUUCCUUAACUAGAAGUGGUCCCCAGGUUCUGCUGGUAGCUUGUUUUCUCUUCCUUCUCACUCUUCUCACUCCACUUUUAUCACUUCAGCCAUCACCUGAAGUUAUAAAUUCUUCUGUGUUUCGUUUUUCUUUUCUUUUCUCUUCUCUUUCUUUCUCUCUCUCUCUCUUUCUUCUUUCUUUUUUUUUUUUUUUUUUUUUUUUUGAGAGUCUUGCUCUCUCACCCAAGCUGGAGUGCAAUGGC